UGCUCAGUUUACAAGACUCCCAGUCGCUAUUCGAUUAGUGUCCAGCGCAUUGCUCUAGAAAAAUGGACUGGACUUGGUUUUCAACUGCGCCAAAUGCGAUUGGAAUCACUGCAGCCGUUUUACUAUGAUACUGCGUAAAGAAAUUGUUCUUCACUUCCAGCAGUGGAGGUCUCCUUUUGCUGAGGAUUCAAGGACUCCUUUGACCCCGCUGGAAAUUGACCAAACUAAACGCGACGAAGUUUUAAAAAGAGCGUUUACUAAGCAGCUGGCCACUGAGAAGAAAUGGGACGCCAUAGUCAUAGGAUCCGGAAUAGGAGGGAUGUCCACUGCAGCGCUACUAAGCAAAGCAGGAAUGAAAGUGUUGGUUCUCGAAAAGCACUACAAAUGUGGCGCUGUCACACUUUCAAAAAGCAAGGCUACGAAUUCGAUGUCGGAAUUCACUACGUGGGCAACUUCAUCCGCCCGACUCUGACUCGAACUCUUGUGGAACAAAUCACUGACGGGCAAAUCCAGUGGGCUCAACUCGACAGCGGCUUUGAUCGUGUGAUCAUGAACUCCACGUCUCCACAACGGCGCGAUUGCAGCGUUUCUUCCGGAAAGGACGCUUGGAAAAAUCAACUUCUGAAGGAGUUUCCCGGCGAAAGAAAAGCCAUCGAACAUUCUUUUCCCUGCUGAUGCGAGCAAACCAUCCGUUGGGAUACUCGCUAGGAUUGUAUGCAUUUAAAAUUCUCCCACUGUGGCUCGUCAAAGUGAUGUGCUUCUUGGGUUAGCCGCGUGUCGUCUGAGUGAUUACUUUGUAUUAAACAAACGCUCAAUCGAAGAAGUUGUCACGAGCCUAACGGACAACAGCGAUCUUCAGUUCCUGCUCAACUACAGCUCCGGAGGCGUCCGGAGGUUAUGGCGUGAGUGCGGAUCGCGCAUCUGUUUCCAUGGCUGCUUUCCUGCACGCCCACUGCUGUGAAUUUGGGUCUUGUUAUCCGGUCGGUGGAGCCUCGGAAAUCCCAUAUUGAAUCAUCCCGGUCAUAGAGCGAUCAGGUGGCCGAGUGCUCAUGAAGGCCCACGUAUCUCAGAUUCUAACCGAAAACGGACGGGUGACGGGCGUACGGGUCGGCCAAAAAAAACAGUCGGCUGUCGACUUAUACGCUCCCAUUGUCAUUUCUGAUGCAGGUCUUCAAAACACGUUUCAGGAUCUUCUUCCGGAAAAUGUCGCCAAAUUGUCACCCAGCUGGUCGUUAGCGAAUUCUCUUCCAGCUGCGUUGGGGAAUUUAACCGUUUUCAUUGGACUCAAAGGCAUUCCUGAAGAACUGGGUUUAACCGGUUUAACAGCGCAAAAUGUCUGGAUCUUCACCGACUUCCAUCCAAUAAAUAAUGUAUUGAUCUACCGCUUCAGGCAUCAGGCAGAUCUAAUUGGUGGCUGAUGUGAUUUGUGAAUUCCAAUUUUACUUUAGGAGCUCAAAGAUAACUAGGCUAUAAUGAGGCUACUUUACAACGUUUUUGCACCGAUCCGUAUAUCCGGCAAUUUUCAUUUCAUCCGCCUCCGCCAAAGAUCCUUCGUGGGCCAAAAGAUACCCUGACCGGAGUACCAUAUCGGUCGUGUCUUUCAUCCCUUACUCUUUUUUCGCCAAUUGGUCUCACCUGAAGGCAAAGAAACGAGGCGACGACUACAACGCCUUGAAAAAUGCCAUCGGACUGCAGAUUAUCGAUCAAGUGACUCGCCAGUAUCCUAAGAUAAAGAACGCGAUCGAUUAUUUUAGCGUUGCAACUCCGGUUACCAUUGAGCACUACCUCAACACCAAAAAAGGCGGGACUUACGGAUUGGAACACGAUAAGGAACGUUUUGACCCAGAAAUGUCAUCUGUGCUGCGUCCCGAAUCUGGCAUUGAAGGAUUAUUCUUUAGCGGCCAAGACGUGACAACGUGUGGAUUCGCUUCUACCAUGCUCAGCGGCCUGUUGUGCGCUGGCGCUGUCUUAAAGAAAAAAUAUUCCAUCGCGUUCGAUCUCCUUUCGUUACACACGAAACUGUCGGGCAGACCUGAAAACCUCGACAGUUUAUUUUUUCUAAUAGCUGCGCAAUGCGCAUCGUUGUUUUUUUGUCAUUUGAAAGAAUUGGGUGCAAUAAUAUUAGUUACUAUAAAUACAUUUCCGAACAAAUAAUUCGUUGACUUUGUUUGCCAUUUUCCGUCCCUCCCACUCAUACUUCCAACGAUAUCGAUAAUGAGUGCGGUGCAACUAAGAAUUGGAAACUACAUGGCAGAAUUUAAUAAAAUGUUCCUGU
Molecule: long non-coding RNA, 2275 nt
Organism: Daphnia pulex (common water flea)
Lineage: Eukaryota; Metazoa; Arthropoda; Branchiopoda; Diplostraca; Daphniidae
Exons: 10
Source: RefSeq, a predicted model, not a curated record